CCCUACUGCUAUCGGGGUGGGACUAAGACAUGCAAGUCGUGCGUCUCUAAGCCAUGGUAGAGACGCGGCGUACGGCUCAGUAACACGUGGCUAACCUACCCUUAGGACAGGGACAACCCCGGGAAACUGGGGCUAAUAUCUGAUAGGUGAGGAGGCCUGGAAUGGUUCUUCGCCGAAAAGGCGUUGAAACCAUGCUUUUCAACGUCGCCUAAGGAUGGGGCCGCGCCCGAUCAGGUUGUUGGUGGGGUAACGGCUCACCAAGCCUAUGACCGGUACGGGCCGUGAGAGCGGGAGCCCGGAGAUGGGCACUGAGACAAGGGCCCAGGCCCUACGGGGCGCAGCAGUCGCGAAAACUCCGCAAUGCACGAAAGUGUGACGGGGCUACCCCGAGUGCCGUCCGCUGAGGAUGGCUUUUCCCCGGUGUAAUGAGCCGGGGGAAUAAGGAGAGGGCAAGUCUGGUGUCAGCCGCCGCGGUAAUACCAGCUCUCCGAGUGGUAGGGACGAUUAUUGGGCUUAAAGCGUCCGUAGCCGGCUUAGCAGGUCUUCCGUUAAAUUCAGCGACCUAAUCGUUGAGCCGCGGGAGAUACUACUAGGCUAGGAGGCGGGAGAGGCCGACGGUAUUCCCGGGGUAGGGGUGAAAUCCUAUAAUCCCGGGAGGACCACCAGUGGCGAAGGCUGUCGGCUAGAACGCGCUCGACGGUGGGGGACGAAAGCUGGGGGAGCGAACCGGAUUAGAUACCCGGGUAGUCCCAGCUGUAUACGAUGCGGGCUAGGUGUUGAGGUGGCUACGAGCCACUUCAGUGCCGCAGGGAAGCCAUUAAGCCCGCCGCCUGGGGAGUACGGCCGCAAGGCUGAAACUUAAAGGAAUUGGCGGGGGAGCACCACAAGGCGUGAAGCUUGCGGUUC
Molecule: ribosomal RNA, 906 nt
Filed under: uncultured archaeon
Lineage: Archaea
Description: bacterial SSU rRNA
Rfam family: Archaeal small subunit ribosomal RNA
Source: RNAcentral